CAUCAGAUGACUGAAAGUAAGUAAUGGUCUCUUAAACCAAAAAAUAGUAAGUUAAACGCCUACUUCUGAGGG
This 72-nucleotide transfer RNA is filed under the name Peripolus nepalensis. Its description in RNAcentral is "tRNA-Lys". Lineage: Eukaryota; Metazoa; Arthropoda; Insecta; Orthoptera; Acrididae. The record is from RNAcentral.